CACCCACGUACCCAUUGUAUUAUACACAGCAACCUUAAAUUUUUCACAUUUUAGACUUUCUUAAAAACUUAUUUUACAAAUAAACCCCCUAAAAACUUAUUGUGGAAACAGAUCCUCUUCGCAACACCAACAUCAUUAGUGCCAUGGUCCAAUAUGACUCUAUUUGUAAAAAUAAACUUUUAAAAAGAUCUAAUAUGUAAAAAAUCCAGCACAACAACCUCUGGUCUCAAAACCUUAUUUACAUUUCCACUUACUUUAGUAAGAUGUGUAGACUGUAGUAGGGUGGGUGGGUCUUCUUUCUCCUUUCAAUUUCUUCAUUAUUGUCCUCCUCCUCCGCUGGCAUAUCGGUCUAUCUAUCAGCCCAUAUUGGUCCGGAACGGGAGGCAUUGGAAGUCACAAAGGCACUAUCUUUAGUUUGCAGUGAAGAUUGAUGUGCUAAAGAAGCUGUGGGUUGUUUGCUUUAUGUAGGCAGUAAUCAUGAGAAAGGAUUGCAGAUGCAACUUCAGAUAGAUCGAGAUACACUGCAGACGAGACAAAUCAAAUGAAUUGCACAAUGUGAUUGGUGGGCAAGCAUGUUCUGAAGGAUUGUGGCAGAAAUUUACUCCAUUGGAUCAAAGGUCUACCGGAGAGAAUCAGCUCUUCAAAUGAAUUGAAAUACUUGUCUUGACUGUAAUAUGCACGCAAUUUUGCAUGUUCAUGUAAAUCUGUAGCAUCGAAGCAUGAUGUCACCAGUGAAGUAUACGUCUCAUAUGUAGGCAUAUACUAGUUCACACCUCUCUUAACACAACACGUCAGACUAAGUGGAAAUGGAAAUAUAGAAGGCAAAAUUGGUUA
This is a non-coding RNA of Oryza sativa Japonica Group (Japanese rice), 834 nucleotides long. The record is from RefSeq and is a predicted model, not a curated record. NCBI's taxonomy places the organism in Eukaryota, Viridiplantae, Streptophyta, Magnoliopsida, Poales, Poaceae.